CUCGUAGGCGGUCUGUUGCGUCGGGAGUGAAAACUCAGGGCUUAACCCUGAGCCUGCUUCCGAUACGGGCAGACUAGAGGUAUGCAGGGGAGAACGGAAUUCCUGGUGUAGCGGUGAAAUGCGCAGAUAUCAGGAGGAACACCGGUGGCGAAGGCGGUUCUCUGGGCAUUACCUGACGCUGAGGAGCGAAAGUGUGGGGAGCGAACA
Molecule: ribosomal RNA, 207 nt
Filed under: uncultured bacterium
Lineage: Bacteria
Description: partial 16S ribosomal RNA
Rfam family: Bacterial small subunit ribosomal RNA
Source: RNAcentral